CCCCCCUCUCCAACCCGAAAUCCCUUCACAAAGACCCCACCCAUUCCGUUUGCGACCCUCGCACACUCCAUGGCAUCACGAGUGGCCACGGUGGUGCUCGCCGGAGCCCUCCCCGUAUCCCCGCGCACUCCCGCGGCUGCGCCCGGGGGCAGCCAGUUCGUCGCGUGGACGAACUGCCCGAGCCGCCAUCGCGGCAUUCGAUGCGGCGUCCCCCGUGCCUCUCGCAGCCGCCCGCACCACCCCUCCUCCUCCCUCUGCACUGCUGAGGACGGUCUGCUCGAGCUGCUGAAGAGCGCGGUCGCUGCGCUCGCCAUCAUCGCCCAGAUUUCCGUGGCGCUGCCGGCGAAUGCGAUCCUCUACUCGCCGGACACGAACGUGCCGAGGACGGGGGAGCUCGCGCUGCGCAGGGCCAUCCCCGCGAACCCGAAGAUGAAAACCGUACAGGAAUCGCUGGAGGACAUCUCGUACUUGCUCAGGAUACCACAGAGGAAGCCGUAUGGCUCCAUGGAGGGGGAUGUCAAGAAGGCCAUGAAAAUAGUCAUGGAGAACAAGGAGACAAUUUUGGAAAGUGUACCUGUAGAACUAAAGGAAAAGGGCUCCGAGCUAUAUACUUCCUUGCUCGAAGGGAAGGGUGGUUUACAAACUCUCUUGAAAUAUAUUAAUGAUAAGGACAAUGACAGACUUUCUGUAGCGCUUGCUUCGUCUCUUGAUACUCUUGCUGAGUUGGAGCUGUUGCAGGCUCCAGGCUUAUCCUUUCUCUUACCUAAACAGUAUUUAGAUUAUCCAAGGCUAACAGGAAGAGGAGUUGUUGAAUUCGCAGUUGAGAAAGGAGAUGGUUCAACAUUCUUUCCGACCGCUGGUGGUGAACCCAAAAGUGUUGCUACAAUUCAGGUCGUAGUUGAUGGAUAUUCUGCGCCACUGACUGCUGGAAAUUUUGUGAAAUUGGUUUUAGAUGGGGCAUAUGAUGGGGCAACACUAAAAUCUGCAAGUCAGGCAAUCAUUGCAGACAGUAAGGCUGGGAAGAAAGGAUAUACCCUUCCAUUAGAGGUCAUGCCAGCUGGACAGUUUGAACCGUUAUACAGAAGUCCACUAAAUAUUCAGGAUGGAGAGUUGCCAGUUCUUCCAAUGUCUGUGUACGGCUCUAUUGCCAUGGCACAUAGUGAGGACUCCGAUGAAUACUCGUCACCUGACCAGUUCUUCUUCUAUCUUUAUGAUAAGAGAAAUUCUGGUUUAGGAGGAAUCUCGUUUGACGAAGGACAAUUUUCAGUUUUCGGAUGAAGGCCGUGUAGUGCUGAUAGCAUUGUCAAAAGAAGAAAUGCAAGAAGCACGAAUGAGGUUAAAGCAGUGAUGUUUCAGAUUUUGUAACUUUUUUGUUAUGAGGAGGACACAUUUCUUCAUAUUACAACAUGAACUUUUUGCAUCCAAUGUCUGAUGGAUGUAGCAGUAACAAGUAUACUGUCAGAUUAUCUACAAGCAGGAGAUUUUGGGACAGGUCGAGGGUUUCUGUUCCCUCCUCCGCUCGGUGCUGAAGGCACCCCCUCUCUUGGGCUGGCGCUAGCAGCUUUCAUCUCUACUGGAGGUAGAGUUUGCUUGCUGGCGUCAAGGCCUGAAGACACACUCCUGGGAGACUACGCCAAGCUGAAGAUCUCCGAUACGCACCAGUCUCCCCCGCGCAUGGCUGCUCGCCGGGCGCCCCUCCUGAGCCCAACCUCCCCGCUGGACUCUGGUGGCUCCUCUCCGCAGCCGUCCCCCAUGAAGAAGAAGAAAAUGGCGAUGCUCCACCGUUCUUCCUCACUGCCCUGCGAGGCACGCUGAAUCGCCGAAAGGGUCGGCUGUAAUGAAACUCCAUAGUUGAUUUUGCUAGAAAGAUAGGUUUAGAGAAGGAAUAGCUUUUGAGUUUUUGUGACACAAAUUUAUUCUGCUACAACUGCGAUUUUGGUCCCACAAUGGGUCUCAAUGAAAAGUUGGGACCGGGGGCGAGCCCCUGAUCA
RNA transcript from Brachypodium distachyon (stiff brome), 1991 nucleotides. It is a transcript of the gene named peptidyl-prolyl cis-trans isomerase CYP37, chloroplastic, with no coding region annotated. Lineage: Eukaryota; Viridiplantae; Streptophyta; Magnoliopsida; Poales; Poaceae. The transcript has 14 exons. The record is from RefSeq and is a predicted model, not a curated record.